RNAcentral lists this ribosomal RNA (253 nucleotides) under uncultured bacterium. Its description in RNAcentral is "partial 16S ribosomal RNA". It matches the Rfam family "Bacterial small subunit ribosomal RNA", at positions 524 to 776 of the family's 1533-position model. The record is from RNAcentral.
UACAGAGGUCUCGAGCGUUAGGCGGAAUCACUGGGCUUAAAGCGUGUGUAGGUGGAUGCCUAAGUACCUUGUGAAAUCCCACAGCUUAACUGUGGAACUGCUUGGUAUACUGGGUGUCUUGAGUCACUCAGGGGCGAGCGGAACAAAUGGUGGAGCGGUGAAAUGCGUAGAUAUCGUCUGGAACGCCGAAGGUGAAAACAGCUCGCUGGGGCUGCGCUGACGCUGAGACACGAAAGCCAGGGGAGCGAACGGG